This 372-nucleotide ribosomal RNA is filed under the name uncultured organism. Its description in RNAcentral is "bacterial SSU rRNA". It matches the Rfam family "Bacterial small subunit ribosomal RNA", at positions 526 to 896 of the family's 1533-position model. The record is from RNAcentral.
CGGGGGGGGCAAGCGUUGUUCGGAAUUACUGGGCGUAAAGGGCGCGUAGGCGGCUCGCUAAGUCGGGUGUGAAAACUCUGGGCUCAACCCAGAGCCUGCAUUCGAAACUGACGGGCUAGAGUUCUGGAGGGGAAAGCGGAAUUCCUGGUGUAGCAGUGAAAUGCGUAGAUAUCAGGAGGAACACCGGUGGCGAAGGCGGCUUUCUGGACAGAAACUGACGCUGACGCGCGAAAGCUAGGGGAGCAAACAGGAUUAGAUACCCUGGUAGUCCUAGCCCUAAACGAUGGAUACUUGCUGUGAGGGGGAUUGAAUCCCUUCGUGGCGAAGCUAACGCAUUAAGUAUCCCGCCUGGGGAGUACGGUCGCAAGGCUG